RNAcentral lists this ribosomal RNA (48 nucleotides) under Arthroderma cuniculi. RNAcentral describes it as "partial 18S ribosomal RNA". The record is from RNAcentral. Lineage: Eukaryota; Fungi; Ascomycota; Eurotiomycetes; Onygenales; Arthrodermataceae.
AAGUAAAAUCGUAACAAGGUUUCCGUAGGUGAACUCGGAAGAUCAUUA